UCGCAUUGGUCUCAAACCAAUGACAUCCAUUUCGAAGACCAUGAGUUUGAGGUGGACGAGGAGGGUGAGGGCAUUGUCGACGCGCCGAAAGGAAGAGCGGGCAAUUACACCAGCAACGAUGACAAGUUACUAUGCUAUACUUAUUUGCAAGUGUCGAGGGAUCCAUCCAUUGGAGGUGAUCAAAGUAGAGAUGCGUAUUGGGGGAGAAUGAAAGAACACUUUGAUGCUCACAACGUGAGUGGAAUUGACCGCUCCGAGAGAUCACUUCGGUCCCGAUGGUCGACAAUCAACUCGGAUUGUCAAAAGUGGGCGACCGCACAAAAGGCAGUUGACAAGAUUAACCCAAGUGGCACAAAUGAGGAUGAUUGA
This 369-nucleotide ribosomal RNA is filed under the name Triticum aestivum (bread wheat). RNAcentral's name for it is "partial small subunit ribosomal RNA". Lineage: Eukaryota; Viridiplantae; Streptophyta; Magnoliopsida; Poales; Poaceae. The record is from RNAcentral.